GGACGCUGGAGUGACAUGUACAGGAUUUGUCCGUCUGGUCGGAGGGGACAGCCGCUGCUCAGGACGAGUGGAGAUCCAUGACGGGGACGGGUGGAAGUCUGUCUGUGACUCACACUUUGGUCCCAAAGCUGCUGAUGUGGUCUGCAGAGAUCUUCAGUGUGGCACAGCCCUGCCCGUCCCCAGAGCAAGUGCCUUUGGAGAAGGGACCGGUGCCACCUGGGACAGAGAGCUGCAGUGCGUGGGGAACGAAUCCAGCCUCUCCUCCUGCCCCACGGGGACCCCUCGCGACCAGCCCUGCCCCCAGACAAGCAUUGCUGCUGUCACCUGCACACGGUUCAGGCUGGUGAAUGGCAGCACGGCGUGCGAGGGCAGGGUGGAAGUGGAGGUGCGGGGAACAUGGGGCAGCCUUUGUGCCUCCCGCUGGGACCUCUUGGACGCCCA
This is a non-coding RNA of Meleagris gallopavo (turkey), 441 nucleotides long. NCBI's taxonomy places the organism in Eukaryota, Metazoa, Chordata, Aves, Galliformes, Phasianidae. The record is from RefSeq and is a predicted model, not a curated record.